Molecule: ribosomal RNA, 459 nt
Filed under: uncultured bacterium
Lineage: Bacteria
Description: partial 16S ribosomal RNA
Rfam family: Bacterial small subunit ribosomal RNA
Source: RNAcentral
CCUACGGGAGGCAGCAGUGAGGAAUAUUGGUCAAUGGUCGGGAGACUGAACCAGCCAAGCCGCGUGAGGGAGGAAGGUACAGAGUAUCGUAAACCUCUUUUGUCAGGGAACAAAGGCGGGGACGUGUCCCCGGAUGAGUGUACCUGAAGAAAAAGCAUCGUCUAACUCCGUGCCAGCAGCCGCGGUAAUACGGAGGAUGCGGGCGUUAUCCGGAUUUAUUGGGUUUAAAGGGUGCGCAGGCGGUCUGUUAAGUCAGCGGUCAAAGCCCGGGGCUCAACCCCGGCCCGCCGUUGAAACUGGCAGUCGCGAGUUGGAGUGAAGUAUGCGGAAUGCGCGGUGUAGCGGUGAAAUGCAUAGAUAUCGCGCAGAACUCCGAUUGCGAAGGCAGCAUGCCGGCUCCACACUGACGCUGAGGCACGAAAGCGUGGGUAUCGAACAGGAUUAGAUACCCUAGUAGUC